Long non-coding RNA from Trematomus bernacchii (emerald rockcod), 366 nucleotides. RefSeq lists it as uncharacterized. The record is from RefSeq and is a predicted model, not a curated record. Lineage: Eukaryota; Metazoa; Chordata; Actinopteri; Perciformes; Nototheniidae. The transcript has 3 exons.
UACUUGUUCACUAUAGGCAAGCAGUUGAUCUUCUUCUGUGACAUUCUAUUGGACGGUUUAUUUAAUACAAAUGUCUUUCGAAGAUAUUUAAUCUCGAAACCAAACAGACAAGGAUGGAUUACCUGUUUAUGUUUUUUUUUAAUUCCAACUUUUCCAGAGGACAAGUCAGUAACCCAAGUUCUGGAUAAGAGUCUCAAGAAAAAAGCUUCCCACCCAGUGCACGGACAAUGAAGAUGAAGAAUUUCCUAUUUCCUCUGGACAGGACGUCUUAGAAAUUACAGCUUCUGAUGAAAGACAAGGCAAUCACAGCUCUGUGAGACCUUUCCAAUCUGCCCGAUAUGAGAAUGACGAUGCUGCAACUCCAGC